This is a long non-coding RNA of Melopsittacus undulatus (budgerigar), 1100 nucleotides long. RefSeq lists it as uncharacterized. The record is from RefSeq and is a predicted model, not a curated record. The transcript is spliced from 2 exons. NCBI's taxonomy places the organism in Eukaryota, Metazoa, Chordata, Aves, Psittaciformes, Psittaculidae.
UGUAUUGCUGACAACAAAAAGCACAACUUAAGAAAAUCAGUAUUAGGAAGCAGCUGUUGAAAGGGUUCGUUGUUACUGGAAAUUGCUCACAAGGCUACCUGAGGUUUUGCUGCUUUCAGUGUGCCGUUGUUGAACAUCUUAGGACACUGCAUUCCUGAUGCUUUUUUUUGGCAACCGAAACAAGAGUCAGAGUUCAUAUUAACAGUGCUUCUUGAUACCAUCAUGUUGCUGCAGAAUCCUCUUGGUGGCCAGAGUUCUGGAGUGGACCCUGAGUUGUCUUAUUUCUUUUCCAGUCUUGGGACCAUGAGAGGCAAUGGUAGCAUUCUUGUUAAAAACAAUUCAUCUACUGUAAAUACUUGAAAACUUUCCACUUGUGAUUGCUUUCACAAGGAGAAGUGCUGGAGCUUUUUGUGUCACCAGUAGAAUGUGUUUGCAGCAGAUUACAUUUCAUACUGAACAUGGACUCAAUAAAUACUGCACUGCUUUUCAGGCUGGGUUGUUUAACGUACUUCUUAGUAACUUUUCAAUGUGACAUUUCAAUUCGGAACUUAUAUUUUUUGGAAAGCAGAAGCAGAUUUCUCUGGGGGUAGAGUGUUAUGUGCUAGAAGAGUUUGGAAGACAGUUUUUUCUACUAAAGAGGAACAUGUGGUGCAAAACCAUUUAGCAGCUUUUUAGGAACAUGAUGAAGAUAGUUCUUUUUUCCAUCAGAGUUGUUAGAAGAACAUCUCAUUCUUGAUGAGACUACUUCUACAGUAAUUUCAUACUAAUUUUCCUCACUCAUUGAUGUUCUCUUUCACUUGCAUGUUUUUUACCUGAUUCUUGGAGGAUGCAGAGGGAAGAAUGAUGCAAAAAAGACCAGUUUACUAGUGUAAAUAUAUUUCAAGGGACUUUCUUGUAAAUCUCUUAGUCAGCCAUUGACACCAGCCAUACCCUAUCAACAUUCUAGGAACUUUUGUGCAGAGUAUUGUGAUGAUAAGUAAUUUGGCUUAUCAAGUAACAGGGGAAAGUUGUUCACAUGUAAAGAGCUGUGAAUUGUUUUAUGGCUGUAAGAAACAUCUUGUAGAUAAGUAAGAUUAAAAAAUGGCUUUACACUUCACUGA